Long non-coding RNA from Mercenaria mercenaria, 300 nucleotides. RefSeq lists it as uncharacterized. The transcript has 3 exons. Lineage: Eukaryota; Metazoa; Mollusca; Bivalvia; Venerida; Veneridae. The record is from RefSeq and is a predicted model, not a curated record.
AAAUGAAACUGAGUUGUUCCCCUUAGUGUUAUUGCCGCCGUUUGUGUGUGUUUGUGACUGACACACAGUCACAGAAAAGAUUUUUGCUCCAUGUAAGUGUUUCUGCUAGACUCUACGUAUCUUUCUCUUGAUGCCACACCAAAUGCAAACAAAAUGGAGACCACUAUUUCAAACGAAGGGAGAAGUUUGAGCAACUUCUUUAAAAUGCACAACCAGAUGUUCAAAGAUGCUGAAGACCAUAAUAAAAUAGGUUAAAUGAACUCCUUGUAGAAAGGGACAAGGGAUAAAAGUCUUAAGGUA